UACGGAGGGAGCUAGCGUUGUUCGGAAUUACUGGGCGUAAAGCGUACGUAGGCGGCUUUGUAAGUUAGAGGUGAAAGCCCGGAGCUCAACUCCGGAACUGCCUUUAAGACUGCAUCGCUAGAAUCCAGGAGAGGUGAGUGGAAUUCCGAGUGUAGAGGUGAAAUUCGUAGAUAUUCGGAAGAACACCAGUGGCGAAGGCGGCUCACUGGACUGGUAUUGACGCUGAGGUACGAAAGCGUGGGGAGCAAACAGG
This 253-nucleotide ribosomal RNA is filed under the name uncultured bacterium. RNAcentral describes it as "partial 16S ribosomal RNA". It matches the Rfam family "Bacterial small subunit ribosomal RNA", at positions 524 to 776 of the family's 1533-position model. The record is from RNAcentral.